Molecule: ribosomal RNA, 549 nt
Filed under: uncultured bacterium
Lineage: Bacteria
Description: bacterial SSU rRNA
Rfam family: Bacterial small subunit ribosomal RNA
Source: RNAcentral
AGGGAAUCUUCGGCAAUGGACGGAAGUCUGACCGAGCAACGCCGCGUGAGUGAAGAAGGUUUUCGGAUCGUAAAGCUCUGUUGUAAGAGAAGAACGAGUGUGAGAGUGGAAAGUUCACACUGUGACGGUAUCUUACCAGAAAGGGACGGCUAACUACGUGCCAGCAGCCGCGGUAAUACGUAGGUCCCGAGCGUUGUCCGGAUUUAUUGGGCGUAAAGCGAGCGCAGGCGGUUAGAUAAGUCUGAAGUUAAAGGCUGUGGCUUAACCAUAGUAGGCUUUGGAAACUGUUUAACUUGAGUGCAAGAGGGGAGAGUGGAAUUCCAUGUGUAGCGGUGAAAUGCGUAGAUAUAUGGAGGAACACCGGUGGCGAAAGCGGCUCUCUGGCUUGUAACUGACGCUGAGGCUCGAAAGCGUGGGGAGCAAACAGGAUUAGAUACCCUGGUAGUCCACGCCGUAAACGAUGAGUGCUAGGUGUUAGACCCUUUCCGGGGUUUAGUGCCGUAGCUAACGCAUUAAGCACUCCGCCUGGGGAGUACGACCGCAAGGUUG